Molecule: long non-coding RNA, 1351 nt
Filed under: Helianthus annuus (common sunflower)
Lineage: Eukaryota; Viridiplantae; Streptophyta; Magnoliopsida; Asterales; Asteraceae
Description: hypothetical non coding rna
Source: RNAcentral
UUAUUCCCAUCACAUCUCUCCACAUCCUCCUCCUUCCUCUUCAACCCUUCCUUCGUAUACCCGUUCCUCGACCCCCUCCCCGCCCCAUAACCCGGGUUCAUAGAGGGAGGGAAGUCAUCAAACGAGUUCACGUCAUUCAACCCAUUUAACCCGUUCGACCUAUUAUUAUUAUUAUAAUAGGUCGACACCGACGCUUGCAGUGGUGGCAUGGCAACGGAGUUCGGGAUCUUAAUCCGAACUCCGUUGCCAUUCCCAUUUCCAUUUCCGCCACCGCCUCCAACCCCAUUCGGGCUCCCAAUACCCGAAUAACGCCGAUUAAGCGGUAUCGCAAUCGCUUGCUUAAUCCCUUUCGGAUACAACAUCAAUUCAUCUCCACCAUCCUCACCACCUCCCAUAUCCUCUUCCUCAUCAUCUUGAUUACCCGGAUCCGAACACGACGACCCUAACUCCAUCGAAUCCAUAAUCUUAAAGUGCACCCAAGAUGACGGAUACCGGUGCCCAUUCGGAACAUUCCCAAUCCGUUGGAUCUCCGCACGGUAUCUUUUCCUAAGUUUCUCCAUCUUAUGCCGGCACUGAAUCGAUGUUUUCGGUGGGUUACCCAUCGGACACCUAGCGGCGACACCAUCGGCCACCUCCUGCCAGUGGGUGGCGCGUAGGUUCCCUCGCCGGAGAGAAUACCACUUUUCUCUGUACGCCUCGAUUAACGCCACCGUCUCGUCGUGAGACCAGCACGGCGGAGGUAGGCGGCGUGUUGCCGGUGGUGGGAGGGCGAGCGUGGGUUCAGAAGAUGGUGAAUUUGAGAUAUCCAUGGUGGUUGUUACGGUGGUUUGUUACGGUGGUGGGGGGAGGGGGUAUGAUGAAAAAAGGGGGAUAGGAUAGGGUGGAAUGAUAAAGGUGGAGAGAGAGGCAUGCGGCUGAAUUGGGGAUCUAGCGGUGAGGUGGUGGAGAGGGCUAAAGUGCGCCGAGCUUAAAAUGCGCAGGGGAGUAAAAACAAAAGAAAAGGUGAGGUGAGAGGUGACGUGACCACCGGGUGUAUUAAGUAUUGGGUGGUUGAACCGGUCCACAGCCCACCACACCGCCGGGCUUUGGGCGGCGGGGUCGUUUUCUACACAUUUAUGUUAAUCUAGAUGUCUUUGCCCUAUGUUGAAGCAAAUUGGAAAAUAAAAGGCUUGCAUUAUUAAACGCUCAACCUUUCUCUUUGAACCAAACCAAACCCAUUUAAGAAGAGAAAUGAUGAUUCCAUGUCUCAAACUUUAUGUAUUUAUACAAUAAAAUAACAUUUGGAGUUAACUAUGGGGUCCAUGUUAUAACAUCAUAAUAUGAUUUUAUUAUGAGACUAUAUCGACACUAA